Molecule: ribosomal RNA, 481 nt
Filed under: uncultured bacterium
Lineage: Bacteria
Description: partial 16S ribosomal RNA
Rfam family: Bacterial small subunit ribosomal RNA
Source: RNAcentral
AUUGAACGCUGGCGGCAUGCUUUACACAUGCAAGUCGAACGGUAACAGGCCGCAAGGUGCUGACGAGUGGCGGACGGGUGAGUAAUGCAUCGGAACGUGCCCAGUCGUGGGGGAUAACUACUCGAAAGAGUAGCUAAUACCGCAUACGAUCUAUGGAUGAAAGCGGGGGACCGUAAGGCCUCGCGCGAUUGGAGCGGCCGAUGUCAGCUUAGGUAGUUGGUGGGGUAAAGGCACACCAGGCCAACGAUCUUUAGCUGGUGUGAGGGGAGGACGAGCCACAGUGAGACUGAGAGGCGGCACAGACACCGACGGGAGGCAGAGGUGGGGAAUUUAGGAAGAUGGGGGGAAGCCUGAACCAGGAACGCCGCGUGCAGGAAGAAGGCCUUCGGGUGGUAAACUGGUUUUGUAGGGAACGAAACGGCUCUGGUUAAUACCCGGGGGUAAUGCCGGUACCGUAAGAAUAAGCACCGGCUAACUACGG